UUGAAAUAGUUGGGCCUCACCUGUGGGCUUUUUUCGUUGGAUGGACUGAGCUUUUAGAGAAGUGGAGAUGAUAGGGAAUUUUGGAAUGGAGUUGUAUAGAUGUCGCCUUUAUCUCUAAAUACUACCUUAUUCUUUUGUUUUGAUGGAAACUUUGUUCUUUUAGUUUAGGCUAGGGGUUGUUUGAUAAAGUUUUUGAUAAAAGCCGAUAAAAUAUGUAGAUGA
This 222-nucleotide long non-coding RNA is filed under the name Olea europaea (common olive). Its description in RNAcentral is "long non-coding RNA (OEUR_LNC010061)". The record is from RNAcentral. Lineage: Eukaryota; Viridiplantae; Streptophyta; Magnoliopsida; Lamiales; Oleaceae.